This 970-nucleotide ribosomal RNA is filed under the name uncultured bacterium. RNAcentral describes it as "bacterial SSU rRNA". It matches the Rfam family "Bacterial small subunit ribosomal RNA", at positions 8 to 1022 of the family's 1533-position model. The record is from RNAcentral.
AGAGUUUGAUCCUGGCUCAGAACGAACGCUGGCGGCAGGCCUAACACAUGCAAGUCGAGCGCUCCGCAAGGAGAGCGGCGCACGGGAGAGUAACGCGUGGGAACCUACCUUUUGGUUCGGAAUAACAUCGGGAAACUGGUGCUAAUACCGGAUAAGCCCCCUGGGGGAAAGAUUUAUCGCCGAAAGAUGGGCCCGCGUUGGAUUAGCUAGUUGGUGAGGUAACGGCUCACCAAGGCAACGAUCCAUAGCUGGUCUGAGAGGAUGAUCAGCCUCACUGGGACUGAGACACGGCCCAGACUCCUACGGGAGGCAGCAGUGGGGAAUAUUGGACAAUGGGGGCAACCCUGAUCCAGCCAUGCCGCGUGAAUGAUGAAGGCCUUCGGGUUGUAAAGUUCUUUUGACGGGGACGAUGAUGACGGUACCCGUAGAAUAAGCUCCGGCUAACUUCGUGCCAGCAGCCGCGGUAAUACGAAGGGAGCUAGCGUUGUUCGGAAUUACUGGGCGUAAAGGGCGCGUAGGCGGUUUAGCAAGUUGGAUGUGAAAGCCCAGGGCUCAACCCUGGAAUUGCAUUCAAGACUGCUUUACUUGAAUUCGGUAGAGGUUGGUAGAAUUCCCAGUGUAGAGGUGAAAUUCGUAGAGAUUGGGAAGAAUACCCGUGGCGAAGGCGGCCAACUGGACCGACAUUGACGCUGAGGCGCGAAAGCGUGGGGAUCAAACAGGAUUAGAUACCCUGGUAGUCCACGCCGUAAACGAUGCAUGCUAGACGUUGAAGGGCUUAGCCCUUUUGUGUCGCAGCUAACGCACUAAGCAUGCCGCCUGGGGAGUACGGCCGCAAGGUUGAAACUCAAAUGAAUUGACGGGGGCCCGCACAAGCGGUGGAGUAUGUGGUUUAAUUCGACGCAACGCGAAGAACCUUACCAACCUUUUGACAUGUCCAGUAUGGGGUUUGAGAGAUCAGAUCCUUUCGGUU